GACGAACGCUGGCGGCGUGCCUGAUACAUGCAAGUAGAACGCUGAAGAGAGGAGCUUACUCUUCUUGGAUGAGUUGCGAACGGGUGAGUAACGCGUAGGUAACCUGCCUUGUAGCGGGGGAUAACUAUUGGAAACGAUAGCUAAUACCGCAUAACAAUGGAUGACACAUGUCAUUUAUUUGAAAGGGGCAAUUGCUCCACUACAAGAUGGACCUGCGUUGUAUUAGCUAGUAGGUGAGGUAAUGGCUCACCUAGGCGACGAUACAUAGCCGACCUGAGAGGGUGAUCGGCCACACUGGGACUGAGACACGGCCCAGACUCCUACGGGAGGCAGCAGUAGGGAAUCUUCGGCAAUGGGGGCAACCCUGACCGAGCAACGCCGCGUGAGUGAAGAAGGUUUUCGGAUCGUAAAGCUCUGUUGUAAGUCAAGAACGGGUGUGAGAGUGGAAAGUUCACACUGUGACGGUAGCUUACCAGAAAGGGACGGCUAACUACGUG
RNAcentral lists this ribosomal RNA (497 nucleotides) under uncultured bacterium. Its description in RNAcentral is "partial 16S ribosomal RNA". It matches the Rfam family "Bacterial small subunit ribosomal RNA", at positions 28 to 507 of the family's 1533-position model. The record is from RNAcentral.